GUACAUGCGAGACCUGACCGAGCGCGCCGCGUGCGUUAUGACGGCCCUCGGGUUGUAAACCGAGACAGGAGGGAAGAAUCCCCUCGGCCAAUACCCCGAGGAGGGAGGGUACCUCCAGAGGAAGCUCCGGCUAACUCCGUGCCAGCAGCCGCGGUAAUACGGAGGGUGCGAACGUUGUUCGGAUUUACUGGGCGUAAAGGGCGUGUAGGCGGUUUGGCAAGUCAAGGGUGAAAUGUCCCGGCUCAACCGUGGACCUGCCCUCGAAACUGCCAGACUUGAGGCCGUGAGAGGAGACUGGAAUUCCCGGUGUAGCGGUGAAAUGCAUAGAUAUCGGGAAGAACACCAGUGGCGAAGGCGAGUCUCUGGCACGGUUCUGACGCUGAGACGCGAAAGCUAGGGGAGCGAACGGGAUUAGAUACCCCGGUAGUCCUAGCCGUAAACGAUGGGCACUAGGUGUUGGCCGAUCGACCCGGUCAGUGCCGCAGCUAACGCGCUAAGUGCCCCGCCUGGGGAGUACGACCGCGAGGUUGAAACUCAAAGGAAUUGACGGGGGCCCGCACAAGCGGUGGAGCGUGUGGUUUAAUUCGACGCAACGCGAAGAACCUUACCCGGACUUGACAUCCUAGAGACAGCCCAGAGAUGGGUCUUCCUUCGGGACUCUAGGACAGUUGUUGCAUGGCUGUCGUCAGCUCGUGUCGUGAGAUGUCGGUUAAGUCCUGCAACGAGCGCACCCUUGCCCUUAGUUGCCAGCGAUCGGCCGGCACUCUAAGGGGACCGCCCGGAAACGGAAGGAGGUGGGAUGACGUCAAGUCCUCAUGACCUUACGUCGGAGCUAAACACGUGCUACAAUGUCGUACAGAGGGAUGCAUGCCCUAGGUGGAGCCAUCCCCAAAGCCGCUCCGUCGGAUUGGAGUCUGCACUCGACUCAUGAGUCGAUCGCUAGUAUCGUGAUCACCUGCGCGCGGUAUACGAUCCCGGCCUUGUACACCCGACCUACAAGACACCGAGUCGUGG
RNAcentral lists this ribosomal RNA (1014 nucleotides) under uncultured bacterium. Its description in RNAcentral is "bacterial SSU rRNA". It matches the Rfam family "Bacterial small subunit ribosomal RNA", at positions 369 to 1415 of the family's 1533-position model. The record is from RNAcentral.